GAUGAACGCUGGCGGCGUGCCUAAUACAUGCAAGUCGAGCGAACAGACGAGGAGCUUGCUCCUCUGACGUUAGCGGCGGACGGGUGAGUAACACGUGGAUAACCUACCUAUAAGACUGGGAUAACUUCGGGAAACCGGAGCUAAUACCGGAUAAUAUAUUGAACCGCAUGGUUCAAUAGUGAAAGACGGUUUUGCUGUCACUUAUAGAUGGAUCCGCGCCGCAUUAGCUAGUUGGUAAGGUAACGGCUUACCAAGGCGACGAUGCGUAGCCGACCUGAGAGGGUGAUCGGCAACACUAGAACGGAGACACGGUCCAGACUCCUACGGGAGGCAGCAGUAGGGAAUCUUCCGCAAUGGGCGAAAGCCUGACGGAGCAACGCCGCGUGAGUGAUGAAGGUCUUCGGAUCGUAAAACUCUGUUAUUAGGGAAGAACAAAUGUGUAAGUAACUAUGCACGUCUUGACGGUACCUAAUCAGAAAGCCACGGCUAACUACGUG
RNAcentral lists this ribosomal RNA (497 nucleotides) under uncultured bacterium. RNAcentral describes it as "partial 16S ribosomal RNA". It matches the Rfam family "Bacterial small subunit ribosomal RNA", at positions 28 to 507 of the family's 1533-position model. The record is from RNAcentral.